This 364-nucleotide ribosomal RNA is filed under the name Clostridioides difficile. Its description in RNAcentral is "bacterial LSU rRNA". It matches the Rfam family "Bacterial large subunit ribosomal RNA", at positions 150 to 518 of the family's 2925-position model. The record is from RNAcentral. Lineage: Bacteria; Bacillati; Bacillota; Clostridia; Peptostreptococcales; Peptostreptococcaceae.
UCAUUAAGUGAAUACAUAGCUUAAUGAGGGGAACUCAGGGAACUGAAACAUCUAAGUACCUGAAGGAAGAGAAAGAAAUUCGAUUCCGUAAGUAGCGGCGAGCGAACGCGGAUUAGCCCAAACCAAUAAAGUUUUCUGUAUUGGGGUUGCGGACAUAUCAUAACGAAGAGGUAUCGUAAUUGAAGAGGUUUGGAAAGACCCACCACAGAAGGUAAUAGUCCUGUAUGUUAAACGAGAAGACUUCAGAUAUGAUCCAGAGUACCACGGGACACGUGAAACCCUGUGGGAAGCAGGAGGGACCACCCUCCAAGGCUAAAUACUACCUAGUGACCGAUAGCGUAUAGUACCGUGAGGGAAAGGUGAA